AUCUGGGAUGGAACAGAUGUUGACCUGGAUCCUCAAACUCCUGGAAAGCCACUGACAGGUCAAAAUAAGAAGGAGUUUGUGGAGGCCUAUGUGAAUCAUGCCUUCAACACAUCAGUGGAGAAUCUGUUCCAGGAGUUCAAGCGAGGCUUCUUCCUGGUGUGUGAGCAGGAUUUGGUGAGGCUGUUUCGACCAGAGGAGCUGCAGGGAGUGCUGGUCGGCCAGGACGUGCAUGACUGGGAAAAGUUCAAACAGAACACAAGUUAUGGUUGGAGAUAUCAUGACCGCCACCCCACCAUACAGAUGUUUUGGGAGGUAUUUGAUGAACUAACUGAAGAGCAGA
Maylandia zebra (zebra mbuna) is the source of this 340-nucleotide non-coding RNA. Lineage: Eukaryota; Metazoa; Chordata; Actinopteri; Cichliformes; Cichlidae. The record is from RefSeq and is a predicted model, not a curated record.